AGCGAACGCUGGCGGCAAGCUUAACACAUGCAAGUCGAGCGCCCCGCACGGGGAGCGGCAGACGGGAGAGUAACACGUGGGAACAUACCUUUUGGUUCGGAACACCUGAGGGAAACUUCAGCUAAUACCGGAUAAGCCCUUACGGGGAAAGAUUUAUCGCCGAACGAUUGGCCCGCGUCUGAUUAGCGAGUUGGUGAGGUAACGGCUCACCAAGGCGACGAUCAGUAGCUGGUCUGAGAGGAUGAUCAGCCUCACUGGGACUGAGACACGGCCCAGACUCCUACGGGAGGCAGCAGUGGGGAAUAUUGGACAAUGGGGGCAACCCUGAUCCAGCCAUGCCGCGUGAGUGAUGAAGGCCUUAGGGUUGUAAAGCUCUUUUGCCCGGGAAGAUAAUGACGGUACCGGGAGAAUAAGCCCCGGCUAACUUCGUG
This 431-nucleotide ribosomal RNA is filed under the name uncultured bacterium. RNAcentral describes it as "partial 16S ribosomal RNA". It matches the Rfam family "Bacterial small subunit ribosomal RNA", at positions 29 to 507 of the family's 1533-position model. The record is from RNAcentral.